RNAcentral lists this ribosomal RNA (447 nucleotides) under uncultured bacterium. RNAcentral describes it as "bacterial SSU rRNA". It matches the Rfam family "Bacterial small subunit ribosomal RNA", at positions 29 to 523 of the family's 1533-position model. The record is from RNAcentral.
AACGAACGCUGGCGGCAGGCCUAACACAUGCAAGUCGAACGAACCUUCGGGUUAGUGGCGCACGGGUGCGUAACGCGUGGGAAUAUACCCUUGAGUAAGGAAUAACGUAGAGAAAUUUGCGCUAAUACCUUAUAAUGACUUCGGUCCAAAGAUUUAUCGCUCAAGGAUUAGCCCGCGUCAGAUUAGAUAGUUGGUGAGGUAACGGCUCACCAAGUCGACGAUCUGUAGGGGGUCUGAGAGGAUGAUCCCCCACACUGGUACUGAGACACGGACCAGACUCCUACGGGAGGCAGCAGUGAGGAAUAUUGGACAAUGGGCGAAAGCCUGAUCCAGCCAUGCCGCGUGAGUGAAGAAGGCCUUAGGGUUGUAAAGCUCUUUCAAUUGCGAAGAUAAUGACGGUAACAAUAGAAGAAGCUCCGGCUAAAUUCGUGCCAGCAGCCGCGGUAA